This 253-nucleotide ribosomal RNA is filed under the name uncultured bacterium. RNAcentral's name for it is "partial 16S ribosomal RNA". It matches the Rfam family "Bacterial small subunit ribosomal RNA", at positions 524 to 776 of the family's 1533-position model. The record is from RNAcentral.
UACGGAGGGGGCUAGCGUUGUUCGGAAUUACUGGGCGUAAAGCGCACGUAGGCGGCUGUGUAAGUCAGAGGUGAAAGCCCGGGGCUCAACCCCGGAAUAGCCUUUGAGACUGCAUAGCUUGAACACGGGAGAGGUGAGUGGAAUUCCGAGUGUAGAGGUGAAAUUCGUAGAUAUUCGGAAGAACACCAGUGGCGAAGGCGGCUCACUGGACCGUUGUUGACGCUGAGGAGCGAAAGCAUGGGGAGCGAACAGG